Molecule: long non-coding RNA, 1923 nt
Filed under: Homo sapiens (human)
Lineage: Eukaryota; Metazoa; Chordata; Mammalia; Primates; Hominidae
Description: HSALNT0387952
Source: RNAcentral
GUGUGGAUCCAGAGACCAGAGGCCAAAGAGAUGUGAUAAACUAUGUCAGUGACUGGAGCCGACCCUGGUCAGUCCCUGGGGCAGGCAUGGCAGCAAGAGGCUGGUUUCCACAUGUGCCCAGAGUUUGCUUCAUGGAAAGGCCAGCUCUGCGCAAAGGUCCAGGGGGGACCAGUCACGAAGGUGUGAAGAGGCCUGAGUGUUUGUCUUCCAUUCAGCUGAGAAAGGCAGAACGCCGCCACACUGCUGCACAGACGGCACCUUCUACACCUUUACACUCCUCACACUGAGCUCCAGGGUCCGGACAGCUGUGCACCUGCCACCUUUAGCAAAGCGAAGGCCAGGGGCCCCUGCUGGCCUUCUGCAAUGGGCAUAUAUUUUGUCUACCCAGCAUUCCUUUCCUUUUUGAGAAUAACUCUUCAGGUCAAAGUAGUCACGCCCAGUCUUCCUGGGCAAGAGAAACAGCCCCUCCUUCCCCUUCUUCCUGGGUGAAUGUGAUGAGGAUGACCAAUUAGAAUAGCCCCACCCCCAAGGCAGGGUAAUUGGCUCAGGGCUGGGCAUGUGACCCAGACCCAGCCAUACUGAGUCCUCCUGGGGUCUUGCCAGAGUUCCUGUGCAAUAAACCCACUGUCUGGGACGGUAAGCACGGCACUAGCUCACGAUGGCCAGUAGCCACCUGGCUCCCCCUUGAAACGGCCUGUCUGCCGGUGCAGCUAAACAGAGCUGAGAGAUGAAGGCACAGCAUGAGCCCUGAUGUGCGCUUUCUGCUCCUGCUCCUGCUCCUGCCCCUUCGGAGGCCUGUGCCAGUGGCAGCUGGGCCCGGAGACACCAGGCCGGCACUGCUCUCUUUCGAGGCACCCGUGUUUGUGCCGACGCUGACUCCCGGUUGUCUGCAGCAGCCACGUGGCCGAAAUGGAGCCUCUCCACGGGGGCUCCUUCCCCAGCCCCUGGAUGGCACAGCAGCCUCUCCUGUCUGUCACCACGUGUGACCUGCUCCCUUAGUCUUCAGCCGCUCAUCCACGUCUGCAGGGGCAUCUAACUCUGUCCCAGGGUAUCCCAGACCCUGGCUCACGCCCCAGGCUCUCCAUUCAGGCUCCAUCGUCCACCUCAGACCAUCUCGGGUUUGCUGGUCUUCUGGACUAGCGCAGCCAGAAAGAACCCAGGAAGGAAGCCUCACGUCUGACACAAGAACCUUCGGUGCUAACCCGAGGGCGGUAUGUGCAUCCUCAGCACCUGCCCAUCCGGCACCAUCCUCUGAUCCAGGGACUGUGAGCAACAGGGCCCCGUGGCCAGGACAUCUCUCACCCUCCAGUUAAAAUCUCGCCAGUUGAGUCUGCCCAUGAAAGUAGGCGCUGAACUGCCCAAUAAAUCCACAAGUAAGAGUUGCAAGAAGGAGCCAAAAAGGGCUGAGCUGAAUGACUCAUAUAUGAAAUAAUUUGAUAAUUAAUAUAAAUAGGAAAUUUAAAGUCUCCAGCUGAGUGACAGAAAACACCUUAAAAAGCUCAAGAGAGAGGAAAGGAAGAAAAUAAACCUAUAAUUGCAAAAUAAAAGCAUUGAAAGAAGCCGUGCUCAAGGUCUGCCUCUGCCUUUGCUCCUGCUAUCCCCAGGGCCCCAGGUGCCCCUCCCUCCACCUCAUCCUUCUGGACCCAGCAAAUGUCCUCCACCAGGAGGCCUUUCUGGACCUCCUCAUCCUCCUGGAAGGAGCCUCUCCCACCCCGAAGUCCUUUAACUAUUUACUUGUCCCUCUCCUUCGUACUGAGCUUAUGCUGUAUUUGUUUAUGUGCUUAUCUUCUACUGGGCUCAUCUCUGUAACCUUUUUAUUCUUUUAUUCAUUCAUUCCACAAAUACUAAUUGAGCACCUACUAUGUGCCAGACCCCAUGCUAGGACUGGGGACACAAUGAUGAGCAAGACAGACACUGUCCCUG